CGCACGCUUGAUAUCACCGCUGACAUCCACAUGCACAGCUCCCUCCUCUUCCUCUCUCCCUCUCUUUCUCUCUCCAUCUCUCUGCAUCUCUGUUUAUUGGAAAGCUCUUGUGCUGCCACUGUGCGGUCCUGCUUCAUCAUGUGUAUAGUGUUUCGGAGCAGAUGGGGAAGCAAAGGAAGGGGCAGAGAUGAGAAAGGAGGAGGAGUGUGGUAGGCAACUAGAGAAGGAGAUGCUCUCCACGUGAAGAGAAGUGGACUGUGGGAUAUUUCUUUAAAGGCUGAACUGGUGGUCUGCUCCUUCUGGAUGUCCCUUGCUGUUCUUUGACAUAAACACAAAGCCUCACUGUGCGAGAGAUGUUUGCACCCACAGCUGCAGCAGUGCGUCAGACACAGUCCUCAUCAGCAGAAAGCAGACGCUGACUGCCUUCACUGAAAUCUACUGGAGUCUCUUAAUUAAUGCUAAUUUCUGAUGACUUGCUGAUCUCAUCAUAAAGGAUCUACAAAGAUAAACAGAGCCAGCUUUCUCUUCUGUUGGGGAACAUGUGGGCAAAUUCUCUCUGCUCCUCAUAAGUCUGUUCUAACUAAACGAGCUCAGCAUGAGCAAUUAUAAUCGAUUUUAUAUCUGUAUAAAGAUUAAAUAUCAGUGCUUUAAUCUGUGAUCCAUCCAUACCAUCUCAUUGGAUCCAUCUAAAUGUGGGACAGUAGGAAUGAUUUCAGUCCAUCUGUUGCAAUGAGCAUAUUUAAUCCUGCAGAUUUAAUUCCUUGCAACCUAUUCUCUGCAGC
Cyprinodon tularosa is the source of this 782-nucleotide long non-coding RNA. RefSeq lists it as uncharacterized. The transcript has 3 exons. NCBI's taxonomy places the organism in Eukaryota, Metazoa, Chordata, Actinopteri, Cyprinodontiformes, Cyprinodontidae. The record is from RefSeq and is a predicted model, not a curated record.